RNAcentral lists this ribosomal RNA (468 nucleotides) under uncultured bacterium. RNAcentral's name for it is "partial 16S ribosomal RNA". It matches the Rfam family "Bacterial small subunit ribosomal RNA", at positions 28 to 507 of the family's 1533-position model. The record is from RNAcentral.
GACGAACGCUGGCGGCGUGCUUAACACAUGCAAGUCGAACGGAAAGGCCCUGCUUUUGUGGGGUGCUCGAGUGGCGAACGGGUGAGUAACACGUGAGUAACCUGCCCUUGACUUUGGGAUAACUUCAGGAAACUGGGGCUAAUACCGGAUAGGAGCUCCUGCUGCAUGGUGGGGGUUGGAAAGUUUCGGCGGUUGGGGAUGUACUCGCGGCUUAUCAGCUUGUUGGUGGGGUAGUGGCUUACCAAGGCUUUGACGGUUAGCCGGCCUGAGAGGGUGACCGGCCACAUUGGGACUGAGAUACGGCCCAGACUCCUACGGGAGGCAGCAGUGGGGAAUAUUGCACAAUGGGCGGAAGCCUGAUGCAGCAACGCCGCGUGCGGGAUGACGGCCUUCGGGUUGUAAACCGCUUUCGCCUGUGACGAAGCGUGAGUGACGGUAAUGGGUAAAGAAGCACCGGCUAACUACGUG